This is an RNA transcript of Hemibagrus wyckioides, 1165 nucleotides long. It is a transcript of the gene named L-selectin-like, with no coding region annotated. The record is from RefSeq and is a predicted model, not a curated record. Lineage: Eukaryota; Metazoa; Chordata; Actinopteri; Siluriformes; Bagridae. The transcript has 5 exons.
GUCAUGUACCAUGAAAAAGCAGAACAGGUUUGCCUAAGAGAUUUUGUACUACUUAAGCUAUUCAAGAAAGAGCAUCCUUCAAAUCUGACAGCCAUUCACCAUCAUGAAGCCCUGCCUUUUUCUCCUGAGUAUCACUGGUGCAGUGGUGCUGAAGGCUGAGAAGGUGCAGGAGACUGUAGCCAAAGGAGGUGGAAAGUGUGUAAAGCGGCAAGAAAGCAAGACACCAAGGCAGACAAAGGAGCAUUGGCUCAGCAGAAUUAGGAGUGUUGUCUUCUUCAACUUGCUGACUCUGGAAAGUAGCAGAGAGAGAGAAAGAUUACGCCUGGAACUCAGUCUCCUAUCUCCUGUUAGUACUGAGCCUGGUUUCCUCCAGGAAUUUUCUCCUGGAGGGUGAAGAGUUUCAGUGGCACUCCUGAAUGAUCAGUGAGUGGUGCGCUUUCAGCUUCUCAUUCCACAGUGGCAUAUUUCUUCUCAGCAGGUGUUAGUUUGCGUGAUAUGUAGAGGACUGCUCCUCUUUGAAGUUCUGGUACAGGACGGCCCCUAACUCUGUUUCAGAUGUGUUGCACCAGGUUUACUGUACUUCUUGAGGACAAUAGAGCAGUGACAGACUUCCCAUUCAUUUCUAUGGUCUUGUACCAGCUGUCAUUUCCAUCAUGCAAACUGUCCCUCACAAGUAUGAUCUAAUCAUGACACCAGUGACGUGGUCCACUGCACAAAACUACUGCAGAGAAAUGUACACUGACCUGGCAACAAUAGAAAGUGACAAUGACUGGGUAAGGCUAAAUAAAUUAUUAGUAAGCCAAGGUAUAACAGCACCUUUCUGGAUCGGACUCUACAACGACAUUAACAGUUGGCGUUGGUCCUUUAAUGAAGUUCCACUGCAGAAUACCAUUUUUAGGAUGUGGGGUGCUGGAAAUCCUGAUAAUAACCAUGGAAAUGAAUCAUGUGGUAUUAUAUGCUCUGCUGGGACCUGGUGGGAUGCUAACUGCUAUGAUUUGAGACCCUUUAUCUGCUACAAUGGUAAUAACAGUGGUGCUGACAGGUUUGUUGGGGUCACAAGUCCUAUGCUGUCCUAGACUGCAGCUCAGGCUUACUGCAGAAAAUUUCACACAGACUUGGCCACUGUGACCAGCAGCACAGAGAACAAUCUGUUAAGCCAGGUUGC